UAGGGAAUCUUCCACAAUGGGCGAAAGCCUGAUGGAGCAACGCCGCGUGUGUGAUGAAGGGUUUCGGCUCGUAAAACACUGUUGUAAGAGAAGAAUGACAUUGAGAGUAACUGUUCAAUGUGUGACGGUAUCUUACCAGAAAGGAACGGCUAAAUACGUGC
RNAcentral lists this ribosomal RNA (161 nucleotides) under uncultured bacterium. RNAcentral describes it as "partial 16S ribosomal RNA". It matches the Rfam family "Bacterial small subunit ribosomal RNA", at positions 355 to 508 of the family's 1533-position model. The record is from RNAcentral.